GGAAUAUUGCACAAUGGGCGCAAGCCUGAUGCAGCCAUGCCGCGUGUAUGAAGAAGGUCUUCGGGUUGUAAAGUACUUUCAGCGAGGAGGAAGGCAUUGUGGUUAAUAACCACAGUGAUUGACGUUACUCGCAGAAGAAGCACCGGCUAACUCCGUGCCAGCAGCCGCGGUAAUACGGAGGGUGCAAGCGUUAAUCGGAAUUACUGGGCGUAAAGCGCACGCAGGCGGUCUGUCAAGUCGGAUGUGAAAUCCCCGGGCUCAACCUGGGAACUGCAUUCGAAACUGGCAGGCUAGAGUCUUGUAGAGGGGGGUAGAAUUCCAGGUGUAGCGGUGAAAUGCGUAGAGAUCUGGAGGAAUACCGGUGGCGAAGGCGGCCCCCUGGACAAAGACUGACGCUCAGGUGCGAAAGCGUGGGGAGCAAACAGGAUUAGAUACCCGAG
RNAcentral lists this ribosomal RNA (440 nucleotides) under uncultured Lelliottia sp. RNAcentral's name for it is "bacterial SSU rRNA". It matches the Rfam family "Bacterial small subunit ribosomal RNA", at positions 358 to 790 of the family's 1533-position model. The record is from RNAcentral. Lineage: Bacteria; Pseudomonadati; Pseudomonadota; Gammaproteobacteria; Enterobacterales; Enterobacteriaceae.